This 1239-nucleotide long non-coding RNA is filed under the name Lynx pardinus (Iberian lynx). The record is from RNAcentral. Lineage: Eukaryota; Metazoa; Chordata; Mammalia; Carnivora; Felidae.
GGUUUAUUUAUUAAAUGGGCCCAGCCACCAGCUACACCUGCUGUCUGGUAACCUGUCCUCCUGUUUCCGAGGUCAUGUCCAGCAUGGGAAGGAUACUUAAUUGGUCUUCAUCGGUGGCAGGCACCAUUCUUCACACUUCUCACCCUUUAUUGAAAUGGCAGUGAAAACCCACCUGCGGAAAGCACUGUUAAGGGACCGAAAAGGUUACAGGAGACCAGAGCUAUUGACUCUUAUUAUUAUUAUUUAAUUUUUUUUAACAUUUAUUUAUUUUUGAGACAGAGAGCCAGAGCAUGAGCAGGGGAGGAGCAGAGAGAGAGGGAGACAUAGAAUUUGAAGCAGGCUCCAGGCUCUAAGCUGUCAGCGCAGAGCCCGAUGCGGAGCUCGAACUGACGAACGGGGAGAUCAUGACCUGAGCCAAAGUCCGACGCUCAACCGACUGAGCCACCCAGGCGCCCCUGACUUUUAUUUUUAAAAUGAAGAUCUCUUUGGGGCGCCUGGGUGGCUCAGUCGGUUAAGCGCCCGACUUCGGCUCAGGUCGUGAUCUCACGGUUCCUGAGUUCCAGCCCAGGGUCGGACUCUGUGCUGACAGCUCAGAGCCUGGGGCCUGCUUCGGAUUCUGUGCCUCCCUCUCUUUCUGCCCAUUGUCCGCUCACACUCCGUCUCUCUCUGUUUCUCAAAAAUAAACACACGUUGAAAAAAAAUUAAAAUAAAAUAAAAUGAAGAUCUCUUUUACUUGAAGAAACUGAAGGAUCUUGGCAUCCUAGGAUGUGCUGUGAGCUGGAAAACAGUAGAAUUUUUGCCGGGGACUGGAAGAAAGAUGGUCACCAAAUAAGUAUUCCCUGACUUGCAGACCGAGUGAGCACAGCCAGGAUCUUCUUCAGCAGGAACAGGCUGCAGUUCGCCACUCUUCAACCCAGUCCUCACCUCUCCACAUUCAGUUUUGCUUCGUUGCUUAGGCGGUUUCUGGCCUGAUCGGUUUUGGGUUUUGUUUUUGGCAGGUGCGGUGGAAUCCCCCAGGGAGCUGAGCAGUUCGUGGAAUCUUCUUACCGGUACAGCUUUCACUGUUGCUUGUGUUACAGUGUGAGGUAAAGGCGAGAAGACAUUUCUCGAGCGCCCUGCUUACCUGCAACUUGACUCCUGAAGGUCAAGAGAGGCAGGUUUGCCCAGUUGUUGUGCGCGGCAUAGGGAGGACGUUUCAUCUGACAACAGGAAUGUAGCUUUUAUGCUAAUAAAAUGCUU